RNAcentral lists this long non-coding RNA (1400 nucleotides) under Equus caballus (horse). Its description in RNAcentral is "lncRNA (ENSECAG00000048427.1)". The record is from RNAcentral. Lineage: Eukaryota; Metazoa; Chordata; Mammalia; Perissodactyla; Equidae.
UUUCAUGUGAUGUAACAACAGGACAGCUAGCGUGGCCUGAGCCCCCAUCCAUGCCAAGAACAUCUCGUUGAACCCUUCCAACAGCCGUAAGAGCAGUCAAGCACUGGGAAGCAUCACCCCCGGAGUCUCCUCCAGCCGCCCUCAGACUCCACGAACAGCAUCGGGAAGAUCCUGACUCCCGCCACCCACCCCCAGCCUCCUCCUGAGCCCUCGUGGUGGCUGCUGUGACGCAUCGCCCAGAGCCCCCUUCAGAAAUGGAGGACGUGCCCCCUGGCUGCAGAAGAGCUGCAGACACACAGCCCUCACCUGUCAUCCCGCUUCCAGAGAUUGCCCAGCUGGGGGAGCCGCCUCACCCACGACCACACCCCCUCCCCGGGGCGGUCCGCCGCCAGUGAUCCACACAGGAGUAAGAUUGCCAUCCGUAUUUUAUCGCUGAGACCGCUAAGGAGCAGAAAAGGUCAGCCUGCGCCUGAGUCACCCGGGGAGGUCACGGUUUGUGCUGAGGUUCCUAGCUGAUGUUGCUGCUGGUGGUCACUGGGAGCCCGCAGCCUAGAAACCCUUCCUUGUGUUCAGGAGACGGACCCAGGCCCGUAGGAAGAGCCGGCCCACCAGGAUGCAGGCCCCCAGGGCGAUGGCGACGACGGGCCAGGAGCCGUUUCAACCCUUCACGUGCCCCCACCCACCGGAUCCACAGAGCAGCUCCGUGAGACACCUCUCAGCCUGGGCCUCCCAGGGUUGGGACCCUGCCGUGGAGAGACUGGUCAUGGCCGGUGUUCUGGAUGCUUCCUCUUCUGUGUUGUGCUUCUGCACCUGCUGGCCUCCGCCUCGCCUCUGCUGGCUUCCUUAGGGCUGGAGCGGAGCAAGGCGGGAGAGGCACGGGUGAAGACCUGCCAGGACUCUCGGUGGAGUCAUCUCACUCUAAGCUGGCUCUCCAGGUGGAGGCCCUUUCAAUAUAACUUCCUGCUGGAGAGGAGGACCCACAUCCGGCCGGGAGAAGCCCACGUCUUCGCCCCGCACUCAUGGCGAUGGACAGAGGGGAGCCAGGUGGCACUUUUUGGGUCACCCUUAGGACAGCCUUCUGAGGUGACCCGCCAUGUCUCUGCAGUGUGUGGACCUGACCACCCUCUGUUCAGCUUUGUGACGGCAGGAGACAGUGUUCAAAUGCGGCCGCCAAUGAUUCUUCCCUUCCAAGAGUGCACAUGCCGCUCUUCCCGCCAGAAGGCGGAGUUUCUCCCCCUCCCGUCACACUGGGGCUGGCCUGCUUUGGGCCAUAGAGUGUGGAGGAGGUGACGCCAUGCUGGUGCCGGGCCUGGCCCUUGAGAGUCCCUUUCGCCCCCCUGGAACCCUGUCGCUGAGCUGUGAGGAGGUCCUGGCUGUGCUGCUGGAGAAGGAGGCUGUGC